CCAAUAGCGUAUAUUAAAGUUGUUGCAGUUAAAAAGCUCGUAGUUGAAUUUCGAGAUCAAAUUGUUGGUCGUGCCUUGGUACGUACUGACAUUAUUGGUUUCUCCCUUCUGAAGAACCAUGAUGUCAUUAAUUUGGUGUCAUGGGGAAUCAGGACUGUUACUUUGAAAAAAUUAGAGUGUUUAAAGCAGGCUCGCGCUUGAAUACAUUAGCAUGGAAUAAUGAAAUAGGACGUUUAAUUCUAUUUUGUUGGUUUCUAGGAUUGACGUAAUGAUUAAUAGGGAUAGUUGGGGGCAUUAGUAUUCAAUUGUCAGAGGUGAAAUUCUUGGAUUUAUUGAAGACUAACUACUGCGAAAGCAUUUGCCAAGGAUGUUUUCAUUAAUCAAGAACGAAAGUUAGGGGAUCGAAGACGAUCAGAUACCGUCGUAGUCUUAACCAUAAACUAUGCCGACUAGGGAUCGGAUGAUGUUAAUUUUUUAAUGACUCAUUCGGCGCCUUGCG
RNAcentral lists this ribosomal RNA (499 nucleotides) under uncultured Glomeromycotina. RNAcentral describes it as "partial small subunit ribosomal RNA". It matches the Rfam family "Eukaryotic small subunit ribosomal RNA", at positions 591 to 1092 of the family's 1831-position model. The record is from RNAcentral. Lineage: Eukaryota; Fungi; Glomeromycota.